Molecule: ribosomal RNA, 915 nt
Filed under: uncultured bacterium
Lineage: Bacteria
Description: bacterial SSU rRNA
Rfam family: Bacterial small subunit ribosomal RNA
Source: RNAcentral
AGAGUUUGAUCCUGGCUCAGGAUGAACGCUAGCUACAGGCUUAACACAUGCAAGUCGAGGGGCAGCGGGAUUGAAGCUUGCUUCAAUUGCCGGCGACCGGCGCACGGGUGAGUAACGCGUAUCCAACCUUCCAUACACUCAGGGAUAGCCUUUCGAAAGAAAGAUUAAUACCUGAUGGUAUGAUGAGAUUGCAUGAUAGCAUCAUUAAAGAUUUAUCGGUGUACGAUGGGGAUGCGUUCCAUUAGGUAGUAGGCGGGGUAACGGCCCACCUAGCCAACGAUGGAUAGGGGUUCUGGGAGGAAGGUCCCCCACAUUGGAACUGAGACACGGUCCAAACUCCUACGGGAGGCAGCAGUGAGGAAUAUUGGUCAAUGGACGAGAGUCUGAACCAGCCAAGUAGCGUGAAGGAUGAAGGUCCUACGGAUUGUAAACUUCUUUUAUAAGGGAAUAAACCCUCCCACGUGUGGGAGCUUGUAUGUACCUUAUGAAUAAGCAUCGGCUAACUCCGUGCCAGCAGCCGCGGUAAUACGGAGGAUGCGAGCGUUAUCCGGAUUUAUUGGGUUUAAAGGGAGCGCAGACGGGUCGUUAAGUCAGCUGUGAAAGUUUGGGGCUCAACCUUAAAAUUGCAGUUGAUACUGGCGUCCUUGAGUGCGGUUGAGGUGUGCGGAAUUCGUGGUGUAGCGGUGAAAUGCUUAGAUAUCACGAAGAACUCCGAUUGCGAAGGCAGCACACUAAUCCGUAACUGGCGUUCAUGCUCGAAAGUGUGGGUAUCAAACAGGAUUAGAUACCCUGGUAGUCCACACGGUAAACGAUGGAUACUCGCUGUUGGCGAUAUACUGUCAGCGGCUUAGCGAAAGCGUUAAGUAUCCCACCUGGGGAGUACGCCGGCAACGGUGAAACUCAAAGGAAUUGACG